This is a non-coding RNA of Brassica napus (rape), 89 nucleotides long. Lineage: Eukaryota; Viridiplantae; Streptophyta; Magnoliopsida; Brassicales; Brassicaceae. The record is from Rfam.
AAUCCCAAAGACGAUUAAUAAUAGAAAAAUGUUAAAAGUAGUGACUGAUUUUUAUAUCUUUGAUACAUAAUCAAUUUUUUUGAGGGAUU